UACUAUCGGUGUACGUGUCAACUGUCUACCAGCUACCUCACACAAUGCGCUGCCGCCUUCUAAAAGCGCCAUCGCCAUCAUGAAUAGUUCACGCAAAGAAACGAGACCGCAAAGAAAACCAUCAAUUGGGGCAGUCCAACUGGAGAGGUAAGGCAAAGUACAAGCUCCAAGAAAAUGAUGUUCAGUGUGAACAUCUUGCAAGCAGAAGCAACGAGCCAGCACAACCAUCAUCCUCUGGCUUACGCACCAUCCACACAAAUGGCUGCAAGGUCUGGCAACCACGCAAGUGAAACUGGUUCGUCAUUGGGUUCAGCCACAUCAAUACUGGAGGCCUUUUCAAGUCGCUCGCUCGAAGGUUCUUUCCAAACUUGGCAAGAAUAACACCAGUGAAUGCAGCUAGCUCUACUGUCUCCGUGAAGAAAUAAAUAUCUGAACUUUAUAUUUGUUAA
Molecule: long non-coding RNA, 449 nt
Organism: Dermacentor albipictus
Lineage: Eukaryota; Metazoa; Arthropoda; Arachnida; Ixodida; Ixodidae
Source: RefSeq, a predicted model, not a curated record